GAGAGAGAGAGAGAGAGAGAGAGCAGUCCCUUUGUUACAUAGAUGUUGUCCAGAUACCUGAUGUGUUCAUCAUCAUUGACUACCUCCACUGGGAUUUUUCCUUCCCUACUGGCAAUGAAUCCGUCUUCAACUCCUGCACAGACCACAGUGCUUCCCCUUCGAUUGCCUUGAGUGGAGUAUAAUUGGCAUAUUAGAAUGUUUUCUUUGACUUUUACAGGGAUCCAUUUGCUCAUUUCAAAGAUAUUACUGUACUUAAGCGACUAACUUUUUUUCCAACAUAUUUGCAAUAUUUGGCCAAAAGAUAGCGAAUUAAACGUAAUUGCUACUUUCAUAAUUUGGCAUUUGCACACCUACUGACUCCACUUCAUGUUUUGAUAAUUAGGGCACUCCAGUUCAAGUGGUAGAAUUUUGCUUAGCAGUCUCCUCGACAUCUCUUAAAUAAAUGGGCACACGCAGGGAAUAUUAAUACGAUUUUUCCCUCUUUGAAUAAAUCCUGCUUCCAACAAUACGCUAUAGUACACCAUACCCCAAAUAUAAGGGUGACUGUAUACAACUUGACAGGUGUCCUGACGUGACAGAAUCAUUCUCUUUGUAAGCUGUCAUGUUUUGAUUUAGCUUAGCUAAGCUUAGCAACCUAAGUUAAUCCAAUUGAUCAGUUUUUGUCUGUCUAAUUCGAUCUUUGUCAGUGCCAUCUUAAAAUGUCCAGUAACAUUAUGCCAAUCGAAUAUGAUAUAAGAUAUGCUCUCUAAAAUAAGCCAAUUAUUCAAAUUGUGUUCAUUUUUGAGAUGCUCUGCCAAAUGUGUUCUUUCUAGACGUGGAGGACUCAUCUGCAUGGUCUGUACUCAUUCAGCUGUUCUAUUUGACAGGCCCUUUAUGUUAAGUUUCAUUACAUUACAUUACAUUUAUUUAGCAGACGCUUUUAUACAAAGCAACAUACGAAAGUGCAUGUCAUGAUCAUCGGACAACUACAAAACACAGGUUCAGUAAGGUAAAAUACUCAUUUCGUACAGCUAUUUACAGCCAGGAACACAGUUCGGUUCAGGCAGUGAACAUUAUUUUGACCUGAAUUAUGCCAAGCCAAACUAGGGAGAAGAACAAGCUACAAUAUUAGGACAAAUACAAAUGACAAAAAGUGCUGGAAUGGGGUACAUCCCCACACCCAGAAAGAUCAGGUGCAGUGACAGAACCGAUGUGCAUCCGAAGUAGAAAUAUUAUUUGCAUUGCUAUUUUUUCACCAGUCCCCAGCAGUAGAUUUGUUCUCACACCCCCCUCCUGCCCCCAGCAGGACGUCCAUCUCCACAUUCCCUCCCUCAUACUGAGCACUCCUGGAGCUACUGAUGUGCAGUCACAUCAAUGCCAUUCAUGUGUGUUUACUUAAUGCGCAUAUCUGUACCGCUGAAUUUCCCACAUCUGUUGCAAACAGGUUCUGUGGUGCUGUGUGCCUGUGUGCGCAUGGGCUUGCGUGCGUGCGUGUGUGUGUGUGUGUGUGUGUGUGUUGUUGCGUUGUGUGUGCUGGACCAGAGUCAAGUUGGCUGCCUGUUCCCUGUAAGGGCUGCCAUGUGGCUAACAGCUCCCAGCAGCCUCCUUUCCUUGUGUUUUUUCAUCACGGCUACCAGAUCAGCCAUGCGUCUGUGCCAGAGCUGUGACAGCACUGAAUGGGUCAUUAGGGACGGAAGCUGGCAUUGGUUUGGCACAGUUAGGGACAGACGCUGUUAUUGGUUGGGCAUGGUUCGGGACAGAGACUGCCAUUGGUUGGACAUGGUUAGAGACAGAGACUGCCAUUGGUUUGGCACUGUUCGGGACCGAUGCUGCCAUUGAUUGAACACAGUUUGUGAGGGAGGCUGCCAUUUACAGAACAUGCUGUAAAUAAGAACAAUAAAGAGGGAGAGAAGGAGAUCUGAAUAGAGAGCAGAAAAUCUCCAUGAUGUUGGAGACGAUGCACGUCCCAACGCCUGUCAGUCACACAUGGGAACUGUUAUACAACAGUCACCUCUCCCCUUAACACACAACUGUUACUUCUCCCCUUAACACACCACAUUCACCUCUCCCCUUAACACACAACAUUCACCUCUCCCCUUAACACACCACAUUCACCUCUCCCCUUAACACACAACAUUCACUUCUCCCCUUAACACACAACUGUUACUUCUCCCCUUAACACACCACAUUCACCUCUCCCCUUAACACACAACAUUCACUUCUCCCCCUUAACACAAAACAGUCACCUCUCCCCUUAACACACACCAGUCACCUCUCCCCUUAACACACAACAUUCACCUCUCCCCUUAACACACAACAUUCGCCUCUCCCCUUAACACACAACAUUCACCUCUCCCCUUAACACACAACAUUCGCCUCCCCCCUUAACACACAACAUUCACCUCUCCCCUUAACACACAACAUUCGCCUCUCCCCUUAACACAAAACAGUCACCUCUCCCCUUAACACACAACAUUCGCCUCUCCCCUUAACACAAAACAGUCACCUCUCCCCUUAACACACUCUCCCUGGCAUUACUGGAAGGCCCAGAGGCUGAGGUCUGUGCUGAUGAAUAAGCUUUUGGAGUUCCUGUCGUCGAGACGUUCCCAGGUCGAAAAGGUAGUUUAUUGCUUUGGGGCGGAUGGAGGAAGCAGAGAGAGGCAGCCCCCCUGGAGCCUUGGAGACGGCUGUGUGCACGCAUUGGCUCCCUCCGUCAUCUAGGGAUUAUUGUGAUGAAGGGAAGUUGAGCAAAACGCUUCAUCUCAUCCUCGCUCAAUAUGUUUUGGAACACUUUAUUUCCCAGCCUUUGUCUUGCGUUCAAGGAGAUUUUCCAAUGCAGGCUGGAACUCGGACGGAAAACGCGCGCAGGUUGCCAGGUUGUUCUUCAAGUUGCAAAGGAAACGGGAGAGAAGUGGUGCAGUGUCUCAUGCGCAGAGCCAGGUGCCUCAGCAGGGCCCACACAGGAGGGGAGCAGAGCCAUAUGCUUGUUUCCUUUGUUUGACUGGAUGAUGAUAUUCUGGAGGUGCUUUUGUCUAAAUCCUUUGUUUUUUGGAUUGAUUACCUGGAACCCGGCUAGAUUAAGCUUUGGUAAAUCAACAGAAAGCACUCAGAAGUAGAAGCUGAUAUUUCACUAUCUCCUAUGAACACACUAUUUCAGUGUGCCGUGAAAUAAUCCCAUAAGAAGGAUUAUGUGCAGGAAAAAAACAGCAAUUAAAUUCUUGGAAAAGCAAACUUGAUUUUCAUAAUCAUGUAGUUUUUUUAAAUUAUUCUGUAUUUGUCUCCUGGUGCCUGUCCAUUGGUAUUUCAUACCCCUGUCAUAGUGGAGGUUCCUCAGUAAAUACUAAUGCAGUGCAGAGUGCUGGACUGACUGGCCAUGAAGCGAAUGUGAAACCCUGUUACUUUCUGACCCUCUUCGUUUCCCGCCAGUCUGGAGGGGUCGCCUGUCUGCCAGGUCAGACGAGCCGCCCUGCGUCCCGCACGCUCAUCAGUGGAGAAUUCUUGUGCUCCGAAAAAGAGUUUGAAUCUUUGCCUGUUUUCAGGUCCUUUCAGCUGCAAGCAUUCUACAUGCUCAAAUGUGUACAUAGGCUGUAAUGUUCUGACAACCCAUAGCAGGGCGGUCAAAUCUCUUUCUUUAAAAGAAAAUUUAGAACAUGGUAAAUAUGUGAAAUUUGACAGGCACUUUGUUUUAGCACAGAACAGAAAAAAAAGAUUAUGUAUUAUGCACCAUUGUCUGUUCAUUCUGUUUAUCUGCUUGGCAGACCCAUGUUUAUCCAGUGCUUACAUGAGUACCUGUUAUCCAUAUUAGUAAUAGCUGGGUACUAAGUGAAGUUGAGUAUCUUUAGGUACAAUGACAGUGCUCUGUUUCAAGCUGUGCUCCUUAAACACUGCACAGUGCUUACUCCCACCUGUUUGGUAGGCGAGGUAUCCGACAGAGCUGAGACAGACCCCCCACAGGGCCUGAGAAAUUUCCCCAAAAAAUGCAUUUUACAGCUCUGUUGACAAGUAUCAAGUACUAUAUUUUACAAGCUGUGUCAAUUCAAAUAUGUUAGGCCCAGAGAAAACCUGUUUAAAAACCAUAUGAAAAAUGCAAUCCUUCCAUACAGGAAGUAACCCCACCCCCUUCUCCCCAUUUCAACAAAAAACAUCUGGAGGUUGUAAAAAAAGGUGUAAAGAGGCUCUGAAAAUUUACAGAGAUUGUACAGAGGUUCAGGACUGUGUGUUAUACCCUGUUUUUCUGUUGGGUGUUGAUAAGACGAUCAAUCAACAGCAAGGCUUUGCGAUUUCCAUGUAAUUGACAAAACCUCAUCGCAUGCUCACAUAUGUAAGUGGUAUGACCUUGCUGCUGAUUGGCUGUCUUAUCAACACCCAAUAAACAGUGGUGGCAUUUUGAACCCGGAAGCAUUUCACGUGGCCUCUGAAGUUUUGGUUGGAUUUAUUACCACAUCUGGUAUAAUUAGAGGAAAAAAAGGCAAAAAGAAAGGCAGUACACCACAUGGUGGCGACUGCUAUGGCGUGUGAUAAUGUCCGCUGCAGUAUAUCACCCAGCCCUAGUUGUGGUGCUGGGCACCGUAGAAGGCUCUCCUCCACAGCACUGUACUCUAGGCACGGAUCAUGAGAAAGUCCCCGGCUCUGUGCUUUUGCCUUGGCUGCACACCAGGGAAAGGACUUUAAAAAAGCCAUGCAUUGGAUCUGAUUUGCUUCCAGAUUUUGGGGCAGAGCCGCGGUCCUCGUGCUGGAGGCCUCUUCCGCUCAGGCUGCCAGCCGUUUUGGGCCAGUGUGCUACAGCCAGGGGGGGGGGGUCAGUGCUGCUGCCCAGCGCUGGCAUACGCAGGGGUGUUUCUGUUUGUUUGGGUUUGCCUUUGGCCGCACAUUCAGAAUGCAAUCAUGGCUUGAUGACUCGGCGUAAACUGCGUAAUACUUACGUUGGGCCACCAGUUUGCCUCCCCUUUUUUUCCUGCGUAGUACUUCGCCAGCUAGAGGUCGCGAUAGCCUCUUUGUCAAGACCCUUCUCAGACAAUUAUCCCAUUUGCACCACCUCAGUAAUCUAAGUUGAUGAAGUAAUUGCCACUAAUUAGGCACAGACGAUGACGGACAGCGAUGUUCACAAGCAACACUCGCGGGUUAGAUAUGGUUUGAUUACUUACUACCGUGGACAUGCUACAGUAUUUUUAGUUGUUGUACACGGGCAUGUUAGGUUUUAUUAGAAGCAAUGGGAAAUGCCCAAAUUGAAAAUGAGAGCAGUUAAAUAACAUUUAACUUGCACAAAAAAGUUUUUUUUUUUUUUUUUUAAUUGAUGAUUCAACUAAUUAACUAAUCAUGGUUUCCAAUCAAGACUUUAAGUAGAAUCAGGUGUCUUAGUGUUGGACUAAAACAAAAACCUGCAUUAACCUGCAUUCAGUGACCUAAAUUAACCAUGUAAUCAGCUGCUUUAACUGAUCAAUUUCUGCGCUACUCAAGUGCAGAGUAACAAUGAAAGCCAGCAGUCCCUGCAGCUCUCCAGGACCAGGAGUGAGGACCACUGCCUCAAAGACAUGCUUCCAUCCAUGAUCACGCACCUGACUCUCCCCAUAUUAGACCAACUAAUUGUUUUUUAUAAAUGCCUCACUUAGAAACUCAGUUGUAUGAUUAGCCACUUGACUUGUUGGAGUGCCUAUGGGGACACCCUGGUGGAUAACCAUUCAAGUACAAGUUUAAAGCCCUGCAGGUCACAUGGUGGAGACAAACUGGCGGUCCUAUCUAUGUGUAACACAUAAGAACGACAUGACAGUGAUAUAACAGUCUCAUAGAUUAUUCACCAUGUGCUAUGACAGACCAUAGUAGUGUAUAGCAUAAGUAAUAACUGUUCAUCUUCAAAUUAUUUAAAUCACGCACACCUUGUUGUGGUCAUGCAUCAAAUUACAAUAACUGUUAUGGUGAUUUAUACUUGCAUUACAUUGCUCCUGUAAUUAUUUGAAAUUUUUUAACAGAAUCACAAUGCAAUCACAAUAUGCAAUAUUCACAGAACAUUAUGUUAAGCAUGAAUUAACACAUUAUGAAUACUUUAUAUGGCUGCUAUGUCGUUAUUAUGUUGCACUUAUGAAUAUGUAAUGUACACAUUCUGAAUAUAAGGUUCUCCCUGUGAGAUUUUAAAAUGAGUCCUGGUUUUGAGCACAAAGAACAAGAGGCAGUCUUUGGAACGGGUGUAAUACAUCCUGAUCUUUCCUAGGCCCUGCUCAGGAGUUCGGUAGAACAGGGGUUGGUGUCUUUGAGAUACAUGUGUACAGCUGCAGGAGUAGAGAAGUUUGGGGGGGGGGGGGGUGCAGCUCCAUUAUCCAUUGUGCCAGAGCAGCCUUCCAGCAGCGAAAAUAACCCCUCCGUGUACCAAACCUCUCCAUCAUUCUCAGUGGUAGCGCUGCAGGCGGUGACUCCAGAGAGGUGACGGCAGGACAUGUCUGCGCUGUGACAUCACUCCUCCCAGGUGUUACUGCCACACGCCCACUUACACUCACCAGGGAACCGGGAGUCUCAGAAAUGCCUCAUGUCUCUCGCAGAAUUUACUUGUCUUGAUUUUCCCAGGGCAUGUUGAGCGCUAAAUUUGCCUCAGUUCUCUCGGUUGUUGUAUCUGGUAUGUCUUAGAUGUUUCUCUGAUAUGUUCCAGGCAUGUUCUAGUCAUACCUGUGGUGUUUCUUAUGGUGAUAAUGUGGCGUUUCUUACCUCACCUGUGUCUUUGUUGUGUCUCAGACACAGGGCCAUUGUGAGGACAGCGAUAGUCAUAAGCAUGUUUACAGAGCUGCCUCUGCUUCUGUUCAGCUGUGUGGUAGCUGUCCAUUGUCAGAAGCUGAAUAAAGCAUGGUAGUGACCACCAUGGGCCCAUCCCACACUGGGGGGCAUCCUUCCUCUUCCCCGGCCUGUGUCUCAGUAAACACAAGCAGCAGGCUGGAGCAGGUGCUCAUUGGCCCUGAGUAAAGCAGGGUGUGGCUCUGUGGUCCUGGCGGCAGUCCCCGGAGUGAAUGGCACUCAAUAGCCAGUCAGGGCACACUGAAGCUGUGGCUGUUGGCCUGGGUAGUGUGGGGGGAGGACGGCCAUGCAGGGACAUGAUGUCCAAUGUGGGGGCUCAGUGGUGCGUCUGCCUGUGGGGCUGACUGGCUGUUGUCUGGCGUUUUAUGACCCGUCGGAUCGGCUCUCUGUCCCGUCCCCAACACCACUGUGCCGUCCUUCACUGCUGCUUCGUUCUCAGGUUGUGUGUUUACUUAUUUAUUUAUUUCAGUCUUUUUUGUGCUAAACCACAUGUUCAUUCUCUGAUUGGGGACGUUCUCGGAAAAUAAAUGAAAAUGUCAAUAUCGCCACCCUCCCACCACCUGAAAUUGAUCAAAUGUUGCCAUGUUGUCUCUUCGAAAUCAAUUGCUCUAAUUUUGGUUGUCUGGCGGCAGGAGAGAGAGGGGAAAGUAUUCUACGCUGCUGCAUGCUCUGAGCUCCGAAAGGUGCAUGAAUGCAUGCAUGGGUGUGGAGUGAAUAUCACUCACAGUGAAGAAUAUUGCUGGUGGAAUGAGAGUAAUUUUUUUCUUCAUCCCUUAGAGGAAACGCUUUGAGAACGAUGCGUGCGCAUUUUCCAUGGACUGACCUGAUAGAUCUUCAAAGGCGCUUAUUUAACACCAUUUUGAAAAAUAUUGUAUGCCUGCUUUGUAAAAAAAAAA
This is a long non-coding RNA of Anguilla anguilla (European eel), 7652 nucleotides long. RefSeq lists it as uncharacterized. The record is from RefSeq and is a predicted model, not a curated record. The transcript is spliced from 2 exons. Lineage: Eukaryota; Metazoa; Chordata; Actinopteri; Anguilliformes; Anguillidae.